UAUGGAGAAAAAGGAAGGAAGGAAAGGGGUAAGUUGUUAUUUUAAGUUAGGUAGUCAAGAAAGGCCUCACUGACAAGGUGACAUUUAAGCAAAAGCCUGAAGGAAGAGCCUAUUUGGAAAUUUUUCUUGGAGGCCUCUGGAAGCCCUCUCAGCCCUGCCAGCUUUGGAGGAGGGCUUCCCAGCAUGGGUGCACUUAAGAUCCCAGGUGAUCCUUUGGACUCCCACAGGAUUUGCAUCCUUCCCAAAAUCUGCGUGAAGACAAGCCACAGAAAGAACAGGUCAUAAGAUCUCCUGAAACACUUCACCCACCAGCCAGACCCACAGUCUCUAAAGGUCUCUGUGCUUCUGAGAAUUCUCUCACGACCAACAUAAUAUUUAUCCAGCCUCAGCAUCUAGUGCAUCACAAGUCCUGUCAACUUACCUCCAAAGUGACUCUCAAAUGACCCAUCUCCAUCUCAACUACCACCACCCUCGUCCAAGCUGUCACCACAACCUGCCUCAAUGACUGCCAUGAUCUCCUAAUUCAUCUGCCUGCCUAGAUUCUUGUUUUUCACUCACUUAUCUCACACUAGAAGCUGGAGAGGAUUUCUUAGAAUGCAAAUAUGAUUGGGUCUACUCCUGCAUGAAAGUCUCCAAUGACCAAUAAACAUUUGAAAAGUU
Ailuropoda melanoleuca (giant panda) is the source of this 660-nucleotide long non-coding RNA. RefSeq lists it as uncharacterized. NCBI's taxonomy places the organism in Eukaryota, Metazoa, Chordata, Mammalia, Carnivora, Ursidae. The record is from RefSeq and is a predicted model, not a curated record. The transcript has 3 exons.